RNAcentral lists this ribosomal RNA (410 nucleotides) under uncultured bacterium. Its description in RNAcentral is "bacterial SSU rRNA". It matches the Rfam family "Bacterial small subunit ribosomal RNA", at positions 28 to 449 of the family's 1533-position model. The record is from RNAcentral.
GAUGAACGUUGGCGGCAUGCCUAACACAUGCAAGUCGAACGCAGCCUUCGGGCUGAGUGGCGCACGGGUGCGUAACACGUAGGUGAUCUGCCUCAAAGUGGGGGAUAACCACGAGAAAUCGUGGCUAAUACCGCAUGUGCUUAUGAGGGUUUGAGACUCAUAAGGAAAGCUUGAUGUGCUUUGAGAGGAGCCUGCGGCCUAUCAGCUAGUUGGUGUGGUAACGGCACACCAAGGCAACGACGGGUAGCUGACCUGAGAGGGUGGUCAGCCACAGGGGAACUGAGACACGGUCCCCACUCCUACGGGAGGCAGCAGUGAGGAAUAUUGGUCAAUGGGCGCAAGCUUGAACCAGCAAUGCCGCGUGCAGGAUGACGGUCUUCGGAUUGUAAACUGCUUUUGUGUGGGAGUAG